RNAcentral lists this long non-coding RNA (409 nucleotides) under Rhinopithecus bieti (black snub-nosed monkey). RNAcentral describes it as "lncRNA (ENSRBIG00000045780.1)". Lineage: Eukaryota; Metazoa; Chordata; Mammalia; Primates; Cercopithecidae. The record is from RNAcentral.
UCAAGUUAGCACGUAAUUAGCACGUUAGUGUAUGCAUCACAGUCACCUUGGCUCCAUCCAGCAGGGGCGCUCUUGAGGCCCAGGCCCUGAUUCCGCGCACCUGAGGAACCACAGCUCUUGCUGCGUUCUAUUGGCCAAAGCAAGUCACAGCCGGCCUGAAUGCGAAAAGGCAGGUGACUAUAGCACCUCCUGGUGAGGGGAGCUGCAGCAGUCGGGCAACCCCCAAGGGAUUACUUACCAUUAAGUGCAACCUGGAAAAUGCAGAACUAUGUGAAGAUGAACACAAAAAUCAUUGUGCUUCAACAACUGAGAGAUGGAAUCCAAAGAUCCUCGAUCCCCACCAGCCAGAGACCAUGAAACAAAGUCAAGUUUCCAUGAUUGUCCAUGAAUAAUGACUCUAAGCUCCCAA